This 468-nucleotide ribosomal RNA is filed under the name uncultured bacterium. RNAcentral's name for it is "partial 16S ribosomal RNA". It matches the Rfam family "Bacterial small subunit ribosomal RNA", at positions 28 to 507 of the family's 1533-position model. The record is from RNAcentral.
GACGAACGCUGGCGGCGUGCUUAACACAUGCAAGUCGAACGGAAAGGCCCUGCUUUUGUGGGGUGCUCGAGUGGCGAACGGGUGAGUAACACGUGUGUAUCCUGCCCUUGACUUUGGGAUAACUUCAGGAAACUGGGGCUAAUACCGGAUAGGAUCUCCUGCUGCAUGUGGGGGGUUGGAAAGUUUCGGCGGUUGGGGAUGGUCUCGCGGCUUAUCCGCUUGUUGGUGUAGUAGUGGCUUACCAAGGCUUUGACGGGUAGCCGGCCUGAGAGGGUGACCGGCCACCUUGGGACUGAGAUACGGAGCAGAAUCCUACGGGAGGCAGCAGUGGGGAAUAUUGCACAAUGGGCGGAAGCCUGAUGCAGAAACGCCGCGUGCGGGAUGACGGCCUUCGGGUUGUAAACCGCUUUCGCAUGUGACGAAGAGUGAGUGACGGUAAUGGGUAAAGAAGCACCGGCUAACUACGUG